Molecule: ribosomal RNA, 433 nt
Filed under: uncultured bacterium
Lineage: Bacteria
Description: partial 16S ribosomal RNA
Rfam family: Bacterial small subunit ribosomal RNA
Source: RNAcentral
AGCGAACGCUGGCGGCAGGCCUAACACAUGCAAGUCGAACGGAUCCUUCGGGAUUAGUGGCGGACGGGUGAGUAACACGUGGGAACGUGCCCUUUGGUUCGGAACAACUCAGGGAAACUUGAGCUAAUACCGGAUGUGCCCUUCGGGGGAAAGAUUUAUCGCCAUUGGAGCGGCCCGCGUCUGAUUAGCUAGUUGGUGAGGUAACGGCCCACCAAGGCGACGAUCAGUAGCUGGUCUGAGAGGAUGAUCAGCCUCACUGGGACUGAGACACGGCCCAGACUCCUACGGGAGGCAGCAGUGGGGAAUCUUGCGCAAUGGGCGAAAGCCUGACGCAGCCAUGCCGCGUGAAUGAUGAAGGUCUUAGGAUUGUAAAAUUCUUUCAGCGGGGACGAUAAUGACGGUACCCGCAGAAGAAGCUCCGGCUAACUUCGUG